RNAcentral lists this ribosomal RNA (477 nucleotides) under uncultured bacterium. Its description in RNAcentral is "bacterial SSU rRNA". It matches the Rfam family "Bacterial small subunit ribosomal RNA", at positions 365 to 832 of the family's 1533-position model. The record is from RNAcentral.
UUCGCAAUGCCCGAAAGGGUGACGAAGCGACGCCGCGUGUGGGAAGAAGGCCUUCGGGUUGUAAACCACUGUCGGGAGUUAAGAAAUGCAAGGAUAUUAAUAGUGUCUUUGUUUGACUAAGGCUCCGGAGGAAGCCACGGCUAACUCUGUGCCUGCAGCCGCGGUAAUACAGAGGCGGCAAGCGUUGUUCGGAAUUAUUGGGCGUAAAGAGCACGUAGGCGGCUAUGUAAGUCGGUUGUGAAAGCCUUCCGCUCAACGGAAGAACAGCAUCCGAUACUACAUGGCUUGAGUGCGGGAGGGGAGAGUGGAACUUCUGGUGGAGCGGUGAAAUGCGUAGAUAUCAGAAGGAACGCCGGCGGCGAAAGCGGCUCUCUGGCCCAUAACUGACGCUGAGUGUGCGAAAGCUAGGGGAGCAAACGGGAUUAGAUACCCCGGUAGUCCUAGCCGUAAACGAUGGGCACUAAGUAGAGGGGUUUU